UCUUAGCGAAUGAAGAAAUAAAGUGUAGACAACAAAUUAAAAUGACAUUUUUGGAAGGAGGAAUUGGGGAGAGAUGGUAACAAAGCAUCCAGUUGUAGUCCCCGAAAGGAAGAAGUCACCUAGUUCAUGACGUUGUUACUUCAUGACAUUGCUUAACUAUACAGAUGCUAGCUCAUCAAACAAUUUGGCAACUUUCAAACAUGGAUUAUGCGCACAAGGUACACUGGCCAAUGACUGCACUUGAAUGCUUUAACAGGACUGUUCAUUAUUGUAUUGACCUCAUUGACUGUCCCAAGACAUGGAUGUUUAUGAUGACUAUGUCAGCAUGUUGAUUGACUUUAAUCACAUUUUGACUUGUCCUUUGAGCUAUCUUCUCUCUAUUUUGUGAUUACCCCUUGAAUGACUAUAUAUUGUCUCUUAUGUCUUGGCUAUUGUGUAAUCUUCUGGAAG
Cryptomeria japonica (Japanese cedar) is the source of this 450-nucleotide long non-coding RNA. RefSeq lists it as uncharacterized. The record is from RefSeq and is a predicted model, not a curated record. The transcript is spliced from 3 exons. Lineage: Eukaryota; Viridiplantae; Streptophyta; Pinopsida; Cupressales; Cupressaceae.